GACCCCAUAGUUUAAUGGUUAGAAUAUUAGAUUUUCAAUCUAGUGGUCUGGGUUCAAUCCCCGGUGGGGUCACCA
This 75-nucleotide transfer RNA is filed under the name Minisyncoccota bacterium. RNAcentral's name for it is "tRNA-Glu". It matches the Rfam family "tRNA". From Rfam's summary of the family: Transfer RNA (tRNA) molecules are approximately 80 nucleotides in length. Their secondary structure includes four short double-helical elements and three loops (D, anti-codon, and T loops). Lineage: Bacteria; Bacillati; Minisyncoccota. The record is from RNAcentral.